AGAACGAACGCUGGCGGCAGGCUUAACACAUGCAAGUCGAACGCCCCGCAAGGGGAGUGGCAGACGGGUGAGUAACGCGUGGGAAUCUACCUGGUUCUACGGAAUAACUGAGGGAAACUUCAGCUAAUACCGUAUACGCCCUAAGGGGAAAGAUUUAUCGGUGCCAGAUGAGCCCGCGUUGGAUUAGCUAGUUGGUGGGGUAAUGGCCUACCAAGGCGACGAUCCAUAGCUGGUCUGAGAGGAUGAUCAGCCACACUGGGACUGAGACACGGCCCAGACUCCUACGGGAGGCAGCAGUGGGGAAUAUUGGACAAUGGGCGAAAAGCCUGAUCCAGCCAUGCCGCGUGAGUGAUGAAGGCCUUAGGGUUGUAAAGCUCUUUCAGUGGGGAAGAUAAUGACGGUAACCACAGAAGAAGCCCCGGCUAACUUCGUGCCAGCAGCCGC
RNAcentral lists this ribosomal RNA (444 nucleotides) under uncultured bacterium. Its description in RNAcentral is "SSU rRNA". It matches the Rfam family "Bacterial small subunit ribosomal RNA", at positions 26 to 518 of the family's 1533-position model. The record is from RNAcentral.